AACGAACGCUGGCGGCAUGCCUAACACAUGCAAGUCGAACGAGGUCUUCGGAUCUAGUGGCGCACGGGUGCGUAACGCGUGGGAAUCUGCCCUUUGCUUCGGAAUAACAGUGAGAAAUUACUGCUAAUACCGGAUGAUGUCUUCGGACCAAAGAUUUAUCGGCAAGGGAUGAGCCCGCGUAGGAUUAGGUAGUUGGUGGGGUAAUGGCCUACCAAGCCGACGAUCCUUAGCUGGUCUGAGAGGAUGAUCAGCCACACUGGGACUGAGACACGGCCCAGACUCCUACGGGAGGCAGCAGUGGGGAAUAUUGGACAAUGGGGGAAACCCUGAUCCAGCAAUGCCGCGUGAGUGAUGAAGGCCUUAGGGUUGUAAAGCUCUUUUACCAGGGAUGAUAAUGACAGUACCUGGAGAAUAAGCUCCGGCUAACUCCGUGCCAGCCGCCGCGGUAA
Molecule: ribosomal RNA, 449 nt
Filed under: uncultured bacterium
Lineage: Bacteria
Description: partial 16S ribosomal RNA
Rfam family: Bacterial small subunit ribosomal RNA
Source: RNAcentral